AGUAUCUGAGAAAGGUUUGAGGAAUAAGUAGAUAUGCGCGGAGUAUAGCUAUGUAUUAUACUAAACAAGUUAUACAGUGUCAAACUUUGUGAUAAAUCUGACAAUUCUUCUUUCAUUAUGGUAACCGCAAAGCAUAACAACCCUCUACAUUCGUUUCAAGAUGGGAGCCCUUUACGCCAAAGUUAAACAUAUAUAGCAAAUACUUUAGAAAGCUUGCGGUAAGUAGAAUACAUAUAUAGGCGGGGAGAUACUGUAACUUCUGUCUAUUCUAUUUUUGAAAAUUAAAAAGAACCUAGUCCGUCUUUGCUAUCAUAGUUUGCACGCUCCGUUGAACAGAAGGCUGGAUGAUAUACAAGCCCCGUCUUUGUCCAAACACUGUAGGCCUGAGUUCUUUAUUGUCAGUACACAGCAACAGCUGUCAACAACAAAUAAGCCACCAACAAGGCUCAGUAAUAACACCUGAGUAGCAUUUGUUUUGCAGAAUCGCUUGGGAGUGUUUGUGACUUGAAUAUGGCGACACACGGAAGUGGAGAAAAGAUGGUGGGAAGUUCCUUAUCUGAGGUGACAACGAAACCAAAAUAUAGUGAUCCCUGGUGGAUG
This 600-nucleotide unclassified non-coding RNA is filed under the name Haliotis rufescens (red abalone). RNAcentral describes it as "inversin-A-like, transcript variant X2". The record is from RNAcentral. Lineage: Eukaryota; Metazoa; Mollusca; Gastropoda; Lepetellida; Haliotidae.